GACAGCUCUUAUUUUGGGUCCUGCCUCCCCAACAGCAGUCUGCAACUUGCCGGCAUCCGGGCAGCACAGCAAAGCUGAUGAGCAGAGGAAAGAGGUCCCUGAAGGCCAACUGCUCUCCCAGGGCGUUCCUUCCGGGCAAGUGGAGAGACACAGCUCCCGAAGAAGUCGGGACUGUUCUAGAAUCCCUGGAAAAGUCUGGGAGACAUUGGGCUCCACACGGACUAAUCUCUGAGCCUCAGGAUCCUCCUCCAUCAGAUGGAAGCAGCGCACACCUGGCCUCCACUUGCUCCCCAGUGUGCCCAGAUGUGAUUGCCCACCUGGGCGGCAGCCGCUUGCCUGUCGCCCCCACUAGGGACGUUUUCUCCUCAGUACCAGACGAAUCAGCUUCAGUUGUCGCGUCAGGGAGCCAAUGCACCACCAACUCAAAAUGACCCUGACCUUCAGUUUUGUCUGCAUGGAGGAGACGGGAGCCGACUAGGUAGGUCACAGGUG
Molecule: long non-coding RNA, 492 nt
Organism: Mustela lutreola (European mink)
Lineage: Eukaryota; Metazoa; Chordata; Mammalia; Carnivora; Mustelidae
Exons: 3
Source: RefSeq, a predicted model, not a curated record